This 408-nucleotide ribosomal RNA is filed under the name uncultured bacterium. RNAcentral's name for it is "partial 16S ribosomal RNA". It matches the Rfam family "Bacterial small subunit ribosomal RNA", at positions 28 to 526 of the family's 1533-position model. The record is from RNAcentral.
GACGAACGCUGGCGGCGUGCCUAAUACAUGCAAGUCGACCUUAGUGGCGAACGGGUGAGUAACACGUGGGUAACCUGCCCAUCAGAAGGGGAUAACACUUGGAAACAGGUGCUAAUACCGUAUACUGAUGGAUGGACCCGGGGUGCAUUAGCUAGUUGGUGGGGUAACGGCUCACCAAGGGCACGAUGCAUAGCCGACCUGGGAGGGUGAUCGGCAACAUGGGGACUUAGACAAGGCCAAACCUCCGACGGGAGGAAGCAGUAGGGAAUCUUCGGCAAGGGACGAAAGUCUGACCGAGCAACGCCGCGUGAGUGAAGAAGGUUUUCGGAUGGUAAAACUCUGUUGUUAGAGAAGCGGUAGCUAACCAGAAAGCCACGGCUAACUACGUGCCAGCAGCCGCGGUAAUAC